Non-coding RNA from Acanthosepion pharaonis, 113 nucleotides. NCBI's taxonomy places the organism in Eukaryota, Metazoa, Mollusca, Cephalopoda, Sepiida, Sepiidae. The record is from the annotation of a GenBank genome assembly.
UUACGGCCAUAUCACAUUGAAACAGAUUCCCGUACUAUCAUCGAAGUUAAGCAACGUCGGGCUUGAUCAGUACAUAAAUGAGUGACCGCUUGGUAAUGCCUGGUGCUGUAAGC